RNAcentral lists this ribosomal RNA (350 nucleotides) under Vischeria magna. RNAcentral describes it as "SSU rRNA". It matches the Rfam family "Eukaryotic small subunit ribosomal RNA", at positions 1472 to 1828 of the family's 1831-position model. Lineage: Eukaryota; Eustigmatophyceae; Eustigmatales; Chlorobotryaceae. The record is from RNAcentral.
CUUAGAUGUCCUGGGCCGCACGCGCGCUACACUGAUGCGUUCAACGAGUUAUAACCUUGUCCGGCAGGACUGGGUAAUCUUGAAACGCGCAUCGUGAUAGGGAUAGAUUCUUGCAACUAUUGAUCUUGAACGAGGAAUUCCUAGUAAACGCGAGUCAUCAGCUCGCAUUGAUUACGUCCCUGCCCUUUGUACACACCGCCCGUCGCACCUACCGAUUGAACGAUUCGGUGAAGCUUUCGGACCGCGCCGUUGGCUUCUAGCCGGCAGUGCGGGAAGUUAUCUAAACCUCAUCGUUUAGAGGAAGGUGAAGUCGUAACAAGGUUUCCGUAGGUGAACCUGCGGAAGGAUCA